Molecule: long non-coding RNA, 293 nt
Filed under: Panax ginseng (ginseng)
Lineage: Eukaryota; Viridiplantae; Streptophyta; Magnoliopsida; Apiales; Araliaceae
Description: long non-coding RNA (PGIN_LNC012173)
Source: RNAcentral
UUGUCCAAACCCUAAACCCUAAGGGUUUCAUCUAAUGCAAAAAUCUAGAAAAAAAUUGGAAAUGACCAUAAUACCCUUUUUAUAUAUAAAAUGAGGUUACUUGUAAAAAAAAUUGUAAAACCUUUAGUUGGUGACCAACUAAAGGCAAUCAAUUGACUUAAAUCUCAGCCCUUUCAGCCUCUUGUGACAGCACAACACAACAUUCAUUGCAUCUAGAGAGGAUAAAAGAGAAUUAGAGAGAGAAAAUACACUUAAGUUGGUCAUUUUUUUCCAAAGUCUAAAACAACUCUCUC